GCUAAGCCCUAAACAUUGAUUAGCUAACAUACUAGACUUUCCGCCAGAGGAUUACAAGUGAAAAACUUAAAACUCAAAGGACUUGACGGUAUCCCAUAUCGACCUAGAGGAGCCUGUCCUAUAAUCGAUACCCCUCGUUCCACCCAACCUCAACUAGCAAAAUAACAGCCUAUAUACCUGCCGUCGAUCAGCCUACCCCGUGAGGGUCCAACAGUAGACAUAAUAACCCAACCUGCUAAUACGUCAGGUCAAGGUGUAGCAAAUGUUGAGGAAGAGAUUGGCUACAUUUUUUAACAUAAAAAACACGAAAAGCACCAUGAAACCGUGCAUGAAGGUGAAUUUAGUAGUAAAAUAGAUAAGAGUGUCUAUUUUAACAACGCUCUGGGAUGCGUACACACCGCCCGUCACCCUCCUCAACAACAAAAAUCCAACCUUUAUAAACCCAAAAAACAAAACAGAGGAGGC
This 465-nucleotide ribosomal RNA is filed under the name Dalmatolacerta oxycephala (sharp-snouted rock lizard). Its description in RNAcentral is "partial 12S ribosomal RNA". It matches the Rfam family "Bacterial small subunit ribosomal RNA", at positions 830 to 1482 of the family's 1533-position model. Lineage: Eukaryota; Metazoa; Chordata; Lepidosauria; Squamata; Lacertidae. The record is from RNAcentral.